UGGUUGCAGCAUUCCGUUGUAAAAUUAGGUGUUUCCGGGAACAAAAGGGAGGAAGGGGGGGGAGAGGUCAAAUCAUCAUGCCCCUUAUGACCUGGCCCCCCCCGUGGUACAAUGGAUGGUACAAAGGCCUGCAAACCCGCGAAGGUAAGCGAAUCCCAUAAACUCAUCCGAUAAUUCGGAUUGCAGGCUGCAACUCGCCUGCAUGAAGCCGGAAUCGCUAGUAAUCGCGGAUCAGCAUGCCCCGGUUAAUACGUUCCCGGGCCUUGUACACACCGCCCGUCACCCCCCGAUUUGUAACACCCGAAGUCGGUGAGGUAACCUUCAUGGAGCCAGCCGCCCUAG
This 342-nucleotide ribosomal RNA is filed under the name Caryophanales bacterium. Its description in RNAcentral is "Bacillales bacterium partial 16S ribosomal RNA". It matches the Rfam family "Bacterial small subunit ribosomal RNA", at positions 1112 to 1461 of the family's 1533-position model. The record is from RNAcentral. Lineage: Bacteria; Bacillati; Bacillota; Bacilli; Caryophanales.